This 497-nucleotide ribosomal RNA is filed under the name uncultured bacterium. RNAcentral describes it as "partial 16S ribosomal RNA". It matches the Rfam family "Bacterial small subunit ribosomal RNA", at positions 28 to 507 of the family's 1533-position model. The record is from RNAcentral.
GAUGAACGCUGGCGGCGUGCCUAAUACAUGCAAGUCGAGCGAACAGAUGAGGAGCUUGCUCCUCUGACGUUAGCGGCGGACGGGUGAGUAACACGUGGAUAACCUACCUAUAAGACUGGGAUAACUUCGGGAAACCGGAGCUAAUACCGGAUAAUAUAUUGAACCGCAUGGUUCAAUAGUGAAAGACGGUUUUGCUGUCACUUAUAGAUGGAUCUGCGCCGCAUUAGCUAGUUGGUAAGGUAACGGCUUACCAAGGCAACGAUGCGUAGCCGACCUGAGAGGGGGAUCGGCCACACUGGAACUGAGACACGGUCCAGACUCCUACGGGAGGCAGCAGUAGGGAAUCUGCCGCAAUGGGCGAAAGCCUGACGGAGCAACGCCGCGUGAGUGAUGAAGGUCUUCGGAUCGUAAAACUCUGUUAUUAGGGAAGAACAAAUGUGUAAGUAACUAUGCACGUCUUGACGGUACCUAAUCAGAAAGCCACGGCUAACUACGUG